Molecule: non-coding RNA, 31 nt
Filed under: Mus musculus (house mouse)
Lineage: Eukaryota; Metazoa; Chordata; Mammalia; Rodentia; Muridae
Source: RNAcentral
UGAAAGUUUGAUUCUGUUUGUGCACAUGGGU